This 61-nucleotide transfer RNA is filed under the name Heterocephalus glaber (naked mole-rat). It matches the Rfam family "tRNA", at positions 6 to 65 of the family's 71-position model. From Rfam's summary of the family: Transfer RNA (tRNA) molecules are approximately 80 nucleotides in length. Lineage: Eukaryota; Metazoa; Chordata; Mammalia; Rodentia; Bathyergidae. The record is from Rfam by way of RNAcentral.
UGUAGCUUGGUGGUAGAGCACUUGCCUGGUAUGCUCGAGGUCCUGGGUUUAAUCCCCAGCA